Molecule: long non-coding RNA, 2601 nt
Organism: Lepidothrix coronata (blue-crowned manakin)
Lineage: Eukaryota; Metazoa; Chordata; Aves; Passeriformes; Pipridae
Exons: 7
Source: RefSeq, a predicted model, not a curated record
AUAUUUUAGUUCAUACGCAAAUUUUAGGUGUCUACUACACUUAACAUUUCCAAUAACUGGUUUCAUUAGGAUUUUUAGUGAUACAAAUUAAUAACAAAAGGCAGUAAUACAGAGUGCUGUUAUGAGGCCAAAAUACAUGUGGUUUAAAUUUGAAGAAUUAAAUGUUAGCAUUUCCCUAUAGAGAAAGGUUAUUUGGGCAGUGGUGUACUGACAUUAUCACCACCCACAGAGAAGGGGACCUGUUAAUCCUAUUGGUUAAGCAGAAAUGCAAAAAAGGAAAAAUGUAGGUCUAGAGGGUUUGCUUGGUGUAAGUGAAUCACACAGGAGAAAUGCUGAUACCCAGAAUUGUUGUAGUGACUUUCUUAGAUGGUUAGAAAAAGAAAUAAGCAUGGGAUAUUUUUGUCAAGUUAGAGGGUUUAGAUUGCUUGCUAGGUAAAAUCAGUCCUGGUUAUUAAUGUAGUGUAAAGUUAAAUGAUGAUCAUGGAAAUAUGAUAAUAUGUGCUGUUUGAUAAUCAGACAGAAACGAUUUUCUGAGUCCAUUAAGAAUAAUCCAAUGUGUUAACCAUUCGGCUGAAGGGCUGCUAAGAAAACAAAUGUGAAAGUGAAUAAAAUAAAGGAAAGCUUCCUUCAGGAAGGUGUUUCUGGACACUACCAUGCUGCUUCUAGCAAAUCAUAUUUGAUAAGAUACAGGUAAGCAACAGCAUUCAUUUAGCAGAAAAUAGUGUUAUCUGUAUCUCUGGAUUUUUGUUUAAACAAUCAUUAAUAAUAAUCUUAUGGGAUCUAGCUAGAAACAAAUCUAUUAAAAAUAACAAUUACUAAUUUGCUACUAUUUAACGUUAGUUUAGUCUGACAGCUCUGGGUAGCUUCGUCUAUUAUUCCUGGAAGAAAACUACAUAAAAUUGGGUGGGUUUAAGUAGUUUCAUACAGACGUGGUACUGCACAGAAAAGCUAGAUAUUAAUAUCACUACAUGUAGGGAGAUCUUGUCUCUGGCCCUCAGUCUGAUGGUUUGAACAUGGGCUGAGCUACCCCAGGCUACCAGUACUCUGCACUUUGGCUUUUGAAACUUUCUGUGUGAGAUAUAGUUUCAACAUGAAACUUCAAAAUACAGUGGUUGACAUUCAGUUUUGGUUUGUUUGAAGCUAAAACUCAAAGCAAAACUCCUGGAGUACAGAACUGUAUGCAGCAAAAUAUAAGAAAGUUAACACAAAACUUCUGCUAACUGAGCAAACUAGUUUCACUCAGCUCUUGAAAUAACCCCUUUCUGCAGAUUCACUUUUCAGUUGCACAUGUGUGAGAUGUCAAAAAAUGAGUUGGUUUCACAACCCCGUAGCACAGAUGAAUGCCACAGCUCUAAGGCUCACCCUCUGUUCUUGUCUUCAUUCUCUGUCUUGGUUGAUACUUAAGACAUCUGCAAGAGAUGAAAUUUUCUCAGCCCCAGGACUCAUUUUUAGUAACAAACCCCAGACUAAUAGGCCUGCCAUUUUUCCACUGCUGGAGGAAAACCUGGACUCUUGCUGAGCUGUAUGGUGAAUAUCUCGGAGAUAUUUGAAUCUACUACUAAUAAAAAGGCCUCUAAAAUGCUAGCAUGGAGGAACGCGUUUAAGUAGCAUAAUCCGUAUGUAUGGAUCUGAUUACUGGAGCACUGAAAGACAAGAUGGCUGUAGGCGGCAUAUCUCUAGAAAUGAGCCUCUUUCCAUAUGGCUUGAUUGUUAUUCAUACUUCCUGGCAGUGGUUAGAAGAGGAGGAUGACUGAGAAUUUAGUAGAUGCCUGGUGGGGUUGACAGUGGUUGUUUGAGGUCCGGGAGUCAGUAGAGAGUGAUUAGGUGACUGCUGACUCAGUGGGGUGAAGCCGAGAGGUCCUCAGCAAAACCACAUCUGUAGCCCCAUACCCUGAAAAUGAGCAUGCCCUUAAUGUCCGCAAGGAAUCCUUCGAACAUCAGGACUACUGAAACUUAGUGGAUUUGUCUAACAGCAUUGACCCACAGGCCUCAUUGGAAAAAGCAGAUCUACCUCUCUCUUUUGGCUUCUUAGUUGGCUUCUUCAAGGGAUACAGAGGUCAUCAAAAUAGAUCUGUGUCUCUUUUGCCAAGCCCUGAAGGCCUGCUGAGAAGCGAUCAGUUGCAAAUGCUGGUGGGGAUUCUGCUAUGAAACCAGAAAACACCCCAGAAGCCAACCUGUGAGAGUGUCAGACUCUUGUAGAAAGUUAAGGUAUCUAAAUAUAAGUACGCACUUUCAAAACUGCUAUGGCUGACUGUUCAUGCAUCUCACUUGCUUAAUCUGUGGGGAUCCUUUUUUACUCAUUCAGGGAGGGAGGCAAAGAUCACUGAAGCCAAUAGAAAGAUGCAGAGUGAUUUCAGGAGGUUUUAGGUGAGGUCAUGCAGUUUGCUCCCUCUGACUGCCAGUAUCCUUGGGUCUUGCUAUUAUCCAAGCCUUUGGUGGCCUCUACAGCUGCUAUAGCAGUUUCUGCAUUGCAGUGAGAUUAUGCAGUUCUCAUGGUUCAUGUUUUUGUGAUGCCUGCCCUAGCCCCAGCCCCUUCACACCACAAACCAGGGACUUCUACAAAUGCGGCUGAGAGAAUCUCUCCACUGAUGGCAGUCCAAG